Long non-coding RNA from Thunnus maccoyii (southern bluefin tuna), 2504 nucleotides. RefSeq lists it as uncharacterized. The transcript has 3 exons. NCBI's taxonomy places the organism in Eukaryota, Metazoa, Chordata, Actinopteri, Scombriformes, Scombridae. The record is from RefSeq and is a predicted model, not a curated record.
GUUAUAAGUUACACCUGUGCUUUUCCUGCUGGGGUCAGUCAUCUAUCACUGGAUAAUGCAAGUGGCAGUGUAACUCAAAACCGUAUACAGUAUGCUGAGUGUCAGGGUUUGGAGUGAAUCAUCCACCAGAGACAGGAGGAUCAUUUUGGUAUCUAUGUUCUCGUCACAACAGGAUGGUGUGUGUGUGUGCACACGGCGAGGAAGUUAUACAACUGAGGCCUUGACUGGGCGUACAGGAACGUAAGGAGAUGUAAACAGAGCAAGUGAAUGUAUCAUCCUCAAGUCACUGAGCUCGCCAAAUGUCUCAUGCACACACCAACACACACACAAACAUGCACUUCCUAACCACUGCCGACACACACUCUCUAUCUUUCCUUCCUCUUGCCUUCACUACCCUCCAUUACACACUCCCUCAUUCCAUUCACUCUCUUUAAUUAACCCUCCCUCCUCCCCACUUCUCCCCUCAGGCUUGCACAAAUGCAUGCCAAAGCACCGAAACACACACAUUUUCCUUACUAAAUAGCACUUGCGCUCACACACACAAGUACGCACCUGCACACACUACAUCGCAAAAAUCUCUGGUCACAUCUUAUAAAAUACAUUUGUCGAUUUUUCAUUCCUGAAAGUUUUAAGUGAAUAUUUCUGCCAGUGCAGUGAGAUACUUAAACCUGUUUUAAAUACAAAUCAACCAGUUUCAAGAAGAAAUGAUCAUCACACUGCAAGAGGAAAGACAUAAGAAAGUCACGAUAUUUCUUUUAGGAAGUUUGAAAUCUUAUUUUCUCUCAUCCGAGAUAAUCUUGUCAAGCACCACUUACAUUAGAUCAUUCAAUUUAUAUUAAGAGGGCGGUGCUUGUGUGUGUAAUGAAUGUUUUCAGAGAUGCACCACUACUGUAGAGACAUUUCCUGUGUCCGAUAUCACUCACUCAUUCAGUUUUCCCUAUAUAACAGACUCUCAGUGCUUUACUACUACAGUAUGUUUAGCGGUAAAGUAACAUUUUGUACACUUAUGAAUCAUAAUCCAUUACUGCACAUCUAUCGAAUACUAUACAUUGCGUUACGGGAUUGUUACUAGAAAGUAGUACUUGUUGCUUGAGCGCUACGUUUUUCAUUCCAUUGUGGGAAUUUUCAAGGGCUCCAUAUAGUGCUUAUAUCACGUUACACGUCUGCUAUUUUGGGCACUCAAAAUAGCAGACAAUAAAUAUAAUGCACUCUAUAGUAGGAAAUAAGAAAUAAGGAGUGUGGCCGUGACUACAUUGCUGACUCCCAUCUGCUUCUUUGUAUAGCCUUUUGCUAUCAGGUGUAAAAAAAAGCCCGAGAUUUUAUGUCUUAAGUCCUAAAUGGAGCCAAAUUCAAAGACAAAUCGUCGCUUCAAGCACCUUCAUCUUGACUUUCUGAAGUUUUAAGGUCAGAGGCUUAAGUCAUUUUUAUGUUUUUCAGAUUCUUUUAGUACACAACAUUUGCUUGUUUGAAGAAAUUAAUUUUUUUGCAGUGUGGUAAGACUGAUAAGACAUUCUUCAAACAAGUUGUGUCAAAAUUAAGAAUUACUAAUUACUUACUGAGCUCAUUUUAAGAAAACAGAGCCUUUCUUUUUUUCGUCGUUGUUGUUGCAAAGAGCAAAUGAGAUAGUGUACGACAAGCACCCAGCUUGAAUCAAACAAGGGACACUGCAACCACAUGACAUGCAUCUUAUAUCAUUAGGGAGCUGGGAUGCAGCCCAGUGUCUGUAGAAGGUGCACUACAGUUCAAAACACGUUGUACAUCCACCAUGGAGAGACAAGAAACACUGAGGGUAUGCAGACUCACAUGCCUACAAAUUCUCUCUCUCUCUCUCUCUCUCACUCACACACACUCUCUCACACACACACACAAUUCAUAUCUAUCACCCUCUUCCCAGAUUGGCUGCGUUUUUCCAAACAUCAUUUACUAAUGCUAUUGCUUUGAGCCAGAAUGCUUUCUGACGUAAUGUUUGCUCUCCCUCUCUCUCUCUCUUUCUCUUUCUCCUCUCCGACUCUCCAAUCUCCCUUUUUCUUGUUGUCUCCCUCUAAUUCCAUUUCCACAUCCCUCUGUCCCUGUUUUUUUUUUUCAGUCUGUGAGGAUUCUUAAGAGUGAGAAAACAGAUGUGGCAGGGGGAUUAAGAUGAUGAAAACUGUUCAUUUCGGGAAAUGAAAAGAGCUAGCCCUCAACAGAUGAGGAAAAAUGCACUGUAGCUUUGGUGGAACUAUAACACACACACACGCACAAAAAAAAAAAAAGGUUAAUACAUCCUGAGCCAGUGAGAGAGAUGGUGAUUGAGAAGGGAAAUCAGAGUGAUGGUGAGCGUGUGCACGUGACUAAAUAUACAUUCGCACCUUUUUGCAGAGAGAAGGAACGAGCCCAAGAGCCAGAAAGAAAGAGACUCGAGUAAUGAACUACAGUAAGUGCAGCAUAUAAUGAGCCGAGCAGCAGGGGGAGAAGAACCAGAUAUAGGAAGUGGAGGGCAGAGAGGAAAAGGAGAGAAAAGAGAU